UUGAUCUUGAAUCCUCUAAGUUGGAGACCUUGCUCUUCAUACCUGAGAAUUUAGGAUCAACCCUCCUUGCUUGGACCCUUUGUAAGUGUCCCCUUUCAUGCUUAAUUUAGGAGCCCAGUAAAAGCUAUCCGUACUUGCUUGGUGGUAUACGGCUGGGAUUAAAUUUAUAUUUAGCUCAGUGCAGGUACUACGCGUAAUAGGCUGGUUUCUCCUAGCAUCAAAUAGAAGUCUCGCAAGCUUAGAUGCCUGAAGUCUGUUGAACAAUGUUUUAUUUUAUUUGCGAUCCGCCUGUGGAUCUUUUACUUUCCGUAAUGUAAUACUUGGAUAUUACUUCAUAUCGGAUUGUAAUAUAUUUAUCUUUUGCUUCCGAU
This 371-nucleotide long non-coding RNA is filed under the name Helianthus annuus (common sunflower). Its description in RNAcentral is "sRNA HanXRQr2_Chr10g0419571". The record is from RNAcentral. Lineage: Eukaryota; Viridiplantae; Streptophyta; Magnoliopsida; Asterales; Asteraceae.